RNAcentral lists this ribosomal RNA (492 nucleotides) under uncultured bacterium. Its description in RNAcentral is "partial 16S ribosomal RNA". It matches the Rfam family "Bacterial small subunit ribosomal RNA", at positions 30 to 507 of the family's 1533-position model. The record is from RNAcentral.
AUUGGACGCUGGCGGCAUGCUUUACACAUGCAAGUCGAACGGUAACAGGCCUUCGGGUGCUGACGAGUGGCGAACGGGUGAGUAAUGCAUCGGAACGUGCCCAGAGGUGGGGGAUAACGCAGCGAAAGCUGUGCUAAUACCGCAUGUGAUCUGAGGAUGAAAGCAGGGGACCAGGCAGCAAUGUUUGGCCUCGCGCCUUUGGAGCGGCCGAUGUCAGAUUAGGUAGUUGGUGGGGUAAAGGCCUACCAAGCCGACGAUCUGUAGCUGGUCUGAGAGGACGACCAGACACACUGGGACUGAGACACGGCCCAGACUCCUACGGGAGGCAGCAGUGGGGAAUUUUGGACAAUGGGCGCAAGCCUGAUCCAGCAAUGCCGCGUGCGGGAAGAAGGCCUUCGGGUUGUAAACCGCUUUUGUACGGAACGAAAAGGCUCUGGCUAAUACCUGGGGCUGAUGACGGUACCGUAAGAAUAAGCACCGGCUAACUACGUG